UCCCUGGUGGCUCAGUUGGUAAAGAAUCUGCCUGCAGUGCAGGAGACCCAGGUAUGAUCCCUGGGUUGGGAA
This is a transfer RNA of Ovis aries (sheep), 72 nucleotides long. It matches the Rfam family "tRNA". From Rfam's summary of the family: Transfer RNA (tRNA) molecules are approximately 80 nucleotides in length. The record is from Rfam. NCBI's taxonomy places the organism in Eukaryota, Metazoa, Chordata, Mammalia, Artiodactyla, Bovidae.